Molecule: ribosomal RNA, 54 nt
Filed under: Diopsittaca nobilis
Lineage: Eukaryota; Metazoa; Chordata; Aves; Psittaciformes; Psittacidae
Description: partial 12S ribosomal RNA
Source: RNAcentral
CCCAAGAACAAAAGACUUAGUCCUAACCUUAUAGUUAACUUUUGCUCAACAUAU